AUGAAAAUAAGAAUUUUAUAAUUUUUGUAUUUUAUUCGCCAGUGCACUUUUUUGUUGGACCACGUGUUAUGAACGAAAAGUUUUAUUGAGUGAUGCAAUUGCCUACGGAAUAACACGUGAUGUGUAUUCAGCCAAUCAAAAUAAAGUAUUAUAAUGAAACAUACAUCAUCUAAUGUAAUUAUAUAACUAUAAAAAGGGAAAUGUAGUUAAACUUUGUCAAUGAGAAAACUGUUCUAUCUAUUAUCACUAAUAUUGUGGUUCUAUCCUAGUCCGCGGUUAUUCUGUUUGACGGCCCCCUUAAUUUAUUAGGAUUUCUGAUUCCAACAAGUCCUUUAAAGCAGUCAGAGGACCGAUUAAUCUAGGAUAU
RNAcentral lists this long non-coding RNA (367 nucleotides) under Mytilus galloprovincialis (Mediterranean mussel). The record is from RNAcentral. Lineage: Eukaryota; Metazoa; Mollusca; Bivalvia; Mytilida; Mytilidae.